This is a non-coding RNA of Rattus norvegicus (Norway rat), 69 nucleotides long. NCBI's taxonomy places the organism in Eukaryota, Metazoa, Chordata, Mammalia, Rodentia, Muridae. The record is from Rfam.
GGGGAUUUAGCUCAGUGGUAGAGCGCUUGCCUAGCAAGCACAAAGCCCUGGGUUCGGUCCUCAGCUCCG